UGAGUUUAACACUUCAUGACUGAGAUCUGUCCUUCAAGACAACAGAACCCACAACAACCAUGAUCUUUAUCACCAUCUUCAUCUGGAUAUUUGCCCUCUGUCUCCAAGAAUCCAGAGGCCAGUUCACUGUAACUCAGACCCCUGCAGUGAAAGCUGUUCUCCCAGGACAGACAGUCUCUCUGAACUGUAAAACCAGCAGUGAUGUGUAUGGUGCAGGAGGCUCUUCUCCCGAACUAGCCUGGUAUCAACAGAAACCUGGAGGAGCUCCUAAACUCCUUAUUUACUAUGCUAAAACACUUCAGUCUGGGACUCCAUCUAGAUUCAGUGGCAGUGGAACUCAUAGUGACUUCACUCUGACCAUCAGUGGAGUCCAGGCUGAAGAUGCAGGAGAUUACUACUGUCAGAGUGUCCACUACCCCAACAGUGUCUGGGUGUUCACACAGUGAUACAGAGCCGUACAAAAACCUCCCUCAGUCAGACUGCACAGUGACUGUACUGCUACAGCUGGGACCUACUGCAGGUGCUGAGGGGGAAGAGACAGUGACAUGGAACACUAGAUGAAGUCAACUGUGACAUGUGACAAUAUGGUUAGAAAGUAAUCAUUCAGUUCACAUGACUAUCAUCAUUAACAUCAUUAUCAUUGUUAUAACUUGUUAUAUUUGUCAUGGCCUUUAAGUGUAUAUAACAUUUAUUUGAUGUUUUGAAACCCAUUUUCUGUCAAUAUGUAAAGCAAUAUCUACAGAUGUAAAACAAAAGGUGUUCUGACCUCAACAUUACUUCAACGUUACAAUCACUUCAGCCCCCCCAAAACAAGAUCCAAAAUGGACCUUAACCAAAUUUGUGAUUUACAUUGUGAUCUUCUAGCAUUAUAUUAACUGUUUUAUAUAAUAAUAGUAUUUAGGCAAUUAGCAGACGCUCUUAUCCAGAGU
Coregonus clupeaformis (lake whitefish) is the source of this 929-nucleotide non-coding RNA. NCBI's taxonomy places the organism in Eukaryota, Metazoa, Chordata, Actinopteri, Salmoniformes, Salmonidae. The record is from the annotation of a RefSeq genome assembly.